AGGACGAGAGUCGUAGCCGAUGGACAACAGGUGGAGAUUCCUGUACUAUGAUAUGACAGAACUGUGGGGACACGUGCAGAGAGCGGAAGCCGGGAAUGGGAUCCCGGUGCAAGCGAGGUACCAGUCACAUUGGAAAAACCGUGUGGCAAUGGGAAGACGUGAUGCGGAGUGAAGUUUAGUAAUGAAGUCCGUGAGCUGUGCGUCAAGAAAAGCCGCUAUUGUUCAUACCAUACCCGUACCGUAAACCGACACAGGUGGAUGAGGAGAGAAUCCUAAGGCCGGCGGAAGAAGCAUUGUCAAGGAACUCGGCAAAAUGACCCCGUAACUUCGGGAGAAGGGGUGCCUGCGAGAGCAGGCCGCAGAGAAUAGGCUCAAGCAACUGUUUAGCAAAAACACAGGUCUAUGCGAAACCGAAAGGUGAGGUAUAUGGGCUGACGCCUGCCCGGUGCUGGAAGGUUAAGAGGAGAGGUUAGCGGUAACGCGAAGCUUUGAAUUUAAGCCCCAGUAAACGGCGGCCGUAGCAAUAACGGUCCUAAGGUAGCGAAAUUCCUUGUCGGGUAAGUUCCGACCCGCACGAAAGGCGUAAUGAUUUGAGCGCUGUCUCGACAAUGCAUCCGGUGAAAUUGAAGUACCAGUGAAGAUGCUGGUUACCUGCGCCAGGACGGAAAGACCCCAUGGAGCUUUACUCCAGUUUGGUACUGGGAUCCGGUACUGCAUGUACAGGAUAGGUGGGAGGCUGAGAAUCGGUAACGCCAGUUGCCGAGGAGCCGCUGUUGGGAUACCACCCUUGCAGUAUUGGGUUUCUAACCAGCCGCCGUGACCCGGCGGUGGGACAAUGCCAGACGGGGAGUUUGACUGGGGCGGUCGCCUCCGAAAGGGUAUCGGAGGCGCCCAAAGGUUCCCUCAGGAUGGACGGAAACCAUCCAAAGAGUGCAAAGGCAGAAGGGAGCUUGACUGCGACACCGACGGGUGGAGCAGGUACGAAAGUAGGGCUUAGUGAUCCGGUGGUAUUAAGUGGGAAUGCCAUCGCUCAACGGAUAAAAGCUACCCUGGAUAACAGGCUUAUCACUCCCAAGAGUUCACAUCGACGGAGUGGUUUGGCACCUCGAUGUCGGCUCAUCGCAUCCUGGGGCUGUAGUAGGUCCCAAGGGUUGGGCUUUCGCCCAUUAAAGCGGCACGCGAGCUGGGUUCAGAACGUCGUGAGACAGUUCGGUCCCUAUCCGGCGUGGGCGUAGGAUAUCUGAGAGGAGCUGUCCUUAGUACGAGAGGACCGGGAUGGACGGGCCGCUGGUGCACCGGUUAGACUGCCAAGUCUAUAGCCGGGUAGCCAAGCCCGGAAGGGAUAAACGCUGAAGGCAUCUAAGCGUGAAGCCCCCCUCAAGAUGAGAUAUCCCAUCCGAAAGGAGUAAACCCCCUUGAAGACGACGAGGUCGAUAGGGCAGAGGUGGAAGUGUGGUAACACAUGGAGCUGACUGCUACUAAUAGGGUGAGGGCUUGACUAA
This 1502-nucleotide ribosomal RNA is filed under the name metagenome. RNAcentral describes it as "bacterial LSU rRNA". It matches the Rfam family "Bacterial large subunit ribosomal RNA", at positions 1399 to 2925 of the family's 2925-position model. The record is from RNAcentral.